CCGUAAGGGUAUAGGGGUUUAUACCCCCACAGCUAGUCCCCGAGCACCAUGUAUUGUGAUGUAACACGCCGUCUUGAGCUUCUUCGAUCAGCGAGGCUCGACGUCUUCAAUAAGCAGGAAAGUCGCCCGAACAGUUGCAACGGUAUUUUGACCAACUCAAAAGACAGUUGAUCAACAUGGACAUCGAAGAAGCGAGUUGUUCGAAGAAUGCAUGGUGCUCUAAAU
Molecule: long non-coding RNA, 225 nt
Filed under: Sorghum bicolor (sorghum)
Lineage: Eukaryota; Viridiplantae; Streptophyta; Magnoliopsida; Poales; Poaceae
Description: long non-coding RNA (SBIC_LNC010181)
Source: RNAcentral